AAAACCAAGAUUUGCUUUAUUCGGUAUCAAAUGGCAGCUACGAGCAAAUAGAACAUCUUUCAGGAGUAUCAAUACCGUGACAUGAAUCGUAAAUGCAUAGAUGUGAGACGAUGGGGGAUAAGCUUCAUUGUCGACAGGGAAACAACCCAGAUCGCCAGCUAAGGCCUCUAAAUGAUCGCUCAGUGAUAAAGGAGGUAAGGGUGCAAAGACGGCCAGGAGGUUUUCCUAGAAGCAGCCACCCUUGAAAGAGUACGCCGCAUUUCGCUCAAAUGGUUGAAGGGAGAUAGUGCAUCAAGCUAUUCGCAAGGGCCAACUUGAUCCUCUUCCCAAGGGAUC
RNAcentral lists this ribosomal RNA (336 nucleotides) under Olea europaea subsp. europaea. RNAcentral's name for it is "Bacterial large subunit ribosomal RNA". It matches the Rfam family "Bacterial large subunit ribosomal RNA", at positions 865 to 1158 of the family's 2925-position model. Lineage: Eukaryota; Viridiplantae; Streptophyta; Magnoliopsida; Lamiales; Oleaceae. The record is from Rfam by way of RNAcentral.